AUAGCCGCAUUUGGUGCGUUAGUGGAUUGUUAACCGAAAUUAUUUUCGGUGGUGUGUAAGCGAGUUUCGGGGACGAAACUUUCUUUAAAGGGGGGAUAAUGUAAGGACUGAGAAUUUGACUGUAUAGUCAGACUCUCUGUUGACGAUGUUUUUGUGUGUAAUUUAAUUACAAAAGUACUCGUCAAGUUUCGAAAGAAAACGAGUUAGAAUGGAGAUUUUACGCGUCUC
Molecule: long non-coding RNA, 228 nt
Filed under: Ananas comosus (pineapple)
Lineage: Eukaryota; Viridiplantae; Streptophyta; Magnoliopsida; Poales; Bromeliaceae
Description: long non-coding RNA (ACOM_LNC033412)
Source: RNAcentral